This 492-nucleotide ribosomal RNA is filed under the name uncultured bacterium. RNAcentral describes it as "partial 16S ribosomal RNA". It matches the Rfam family "Bacterial small subunit ribosomal RNA", at positions 29 to 507 of the family's 1533-position model. The record is from RNAcentral.
AGUGAACGCUGGCGGUAGGCCUAGCACAUGCAAGUCGAACGGCAGCACAGUAAGAGCUUGCUCUUACGGGUGGCGAGUGGCGGACGGGUGAGGAAUACAUCGGAAUCUACUUUUUCGUGGGGGAUAACGUAGGGAAACUUACGCUAAUACCGCAUACGACCUACGGGUGAAAGCAGGGGAUCUUCGGACCUUGCGCGAUUGAAUGAGCCGAUGUCGGAUUAGCUAGUUGGCGGGGUAAAGGCCCACCAAGGCGACGAUCCGUAGCUGGUCUGAGAGGAUGAUCAGCCACACUGGAACUGAGACACGGUCCAGACUCCUACGGGAGGCAGCAGUGGGGAAUAUUGGACAAUGGGCGCAAGCCUGAUCCAGCCAUGCCGCGUGGGUGAAGAAGGCCUUCGGGUUGUAAAGCCCUUUUGUUGGGAAAGAAAAGCAGCAGGUUAAUACCCCGCUGUUCUGACGGUACCCAAAGAAUAAGCACCGGCUAACUUCGUG